This 409-nucleotide long non-coding RNA is filed under the name Zonotrichia albicollis (white-throated sparrow). RNAcentral's name for it is "lncRNA (ENSZALG00000006175.1)". The record is from RNAcentral. Lineage: Eukaryota; Metazoa; Chordata; Aves; Passeriformes; Passerellidae.
GAAAAGUGCCCCAGCUCCCCUAGGGCAAGGAGUGGGAGGUGGUUGUCUCCAUUCCUUAUGGAUUGGAUGGCUUCUUCCACAAACAGCUCUGCUCACCCUGCAGAACUAACCUUUAGAUGACUUUUAAAGGUCCUUUCCAGUCCAAAGGGAUUUAUCCAGCCCAUGAGGGUCCCAGGGAGUGGCUUCUCAUGAGGACCCACCUAGAGCUGAAAAGGUCUGCACAUCUUGCAGGUGACCUGGAGACCUUCAGCUUCUGCUUCCUGUCUCGAGCCGCACAUGAGCAGCAAGAAUGUGUUGGUGAAAGCAGAGGAAGGAAAGGAAGAGGUCUGCACGGCAUUCAUUAAUCAUUUCAUCAGGAAGGAGUUCAAAGCAGAGGCCAGCCUUAACAAGGGCUGCAGGCAGAGAUGGG